AUUGAACGCUGGCGGCAGGCUUAACACAUGCAAGUCGAGCGGAGAUGAGGUGCUUGCACCUUAUCUUAGCGGCGGACGGGUGAGUAAUGCUUAGGAAUCUGCCUAUUAGUGGGGGACAACAUUCCGAAAGGAAUGCUAAUACCGCAUACGUCCUACGGGAGAAAGCAGGGGAUCUUCGGACCUUGCGCUAAUAGAUGAGCCUAAGUCGGAUUAGCUAGUUGGGGGGGUAAAGGCCUACCAAGGCGACGUUCUGUAGCGGGUCUGAGAGGAUGAUCCGCCACACUGGGACUGAGACACGGCCCAGACUCCUACGGGAGGCAGCAGUGGGGAAUAUUGGACAAUGGGGGGAACCCUGAUCCAGCCAUGCCGCGUGUGUGAAGAAGGCCUUAUGGUUGUAAAGCACUUUAAGCGAGGAGGAGGCUACUGAGACUAAUACUCUUGGAUAGUGGACGUUACUCGCAGAAUAAGCACCGGCUAACUCUGUGCCAGCCGCCGCAGUAA
Molecule: ribosomal RNA, 501 nt
Filed under: uncultured bacterium
Lineage: Bacteria
Description: partial 16S ribosomal RNA
Rfam family: Bacterial small subunit ribosomal RNA
Source: RNAcentral